Molecule: non-coding RNA, 108 nt
Organism: Caenorhabditis elegans
Lineage: Eukaryota; Metazoa; Nematoda; Chromadorea; Rhabditida; Rhabditidae
Source: Ensembl
GUCCGAUGUGUCCCUGAGGGAGAAGCUGUCGAAUAUAGAAAAGAAAAGAGAGUGAGAUGUGGAAUUCGACAUGUUCUACUCAUGUGACGAAUCCGACAAGGUACAGGC